UACGUAGGGUGCAAGCGUUGUCCGGACUUAUUGGGCGUAAAGAGCGUGUAGGCGGCUUUACAGGUCCGUUGUGAAAACUCGAGGCUCAACCUCGAGACGCCGGUGGAAACCGUAAGGCUAGAGUCCGGAAGAGGAGAGUGGAAUUCCUGGUGUAGCGGUGAAAUGCGCAGAUAUCAGGAAGAACACCCGUGGCGAAGGCGGCUCUCUGGGACGGUACUGACGCUGAGACGCGAAAGCGUGGGGAGCGAACAGG
This 253-nucleotide ribosomal RNA is filed under the name uncultured bacterium. RNAcentral describes it as "partial 16S ribosomal RNA". It matches the Rfam family "Bacterial small subunit ribosomal RNA", at positions 524 to 776 of the family's 1533-position model. The record is from RNAcentral.